UACGUAGGGGGCUAGCGUUGCCCGGAAUCAUUGGGCGUAAAGAGCGUGUAGGCGGUCCGGUAAGUCCGCUGUGAAAGUCGGGGGCUCAACCCUCGAAUGCCGGUGGAUACUGUCGGGCUAGAGUGCGGAAGAGGCGAGUGGAAUUCCUGGUGUAGCGGUGAAAUGCGCAGAUAUCAGGAGGAACACCUAUUGCGAAGGCAGCUCGCUGGGACGUUACUGACGCUGAGACGCGAAAGCGUGGGGAGCAAACAGG
Molecule: ribosomal RNA, 253 nt
Filed under: uncultured bacterium
Lineage: Bacteria
Description: partial 16S ribosomal RNA
Rfam family: Bacterial small subunit ribosomal RNA
Source: RNAcentral